CAGCAGACUAGCUAACCAGGCUACUCGGCAGGUUGUUUGACGUGAAAGCCGUUCUGACACACGAUGCCGGAUUCCUCGUCAUGUUUUGGCCUAAAAACGACUUGAUACGAAGUGUGGACCGAAGCUAACGGAGGGCGACAAGGUGACGCCAGCUCGUCCUCGCUGUGCUAACUUUACAAAGUGUCAGUGAAAACAACAUUCUCCCUUCAAGAAACACUCUGUAAAAGUUUACCGGCAAAGUAAAAGGCUUCUUCUUUAAGUUAAGGGUUGGGCGCAGCCAAGAUGGCGCUGUGCUGCUUCUUCACCUGCUCCACAUCCUCGGACAACUUCUCGAUGCAGCCGCGUAUCUCCUCCACCUACACGUAUACACACACACAAAGACAGACACACGCUUCCUGUCACAACACGGAUGACACAUGGCAUCGCCUCAAACAGGAUGUUGGUGAUUACGCCUCACCGGCAUUUUGGCAGGCCAACUUCAACUGGGAGUGACGAAUAAACAGCUUGAAGCAUGCCCACAACGGUACAAGUGAGGGUCUUCAUUCCCUUUCAUCAGUCACGUUACAAGACAGCAAAAACGCAACAACAGGUAAGAAGGCUGAGUAAUGAUAAAGGCUGCCGUCACCAGCCACUGAUGGACGUGGAGUAAGUCCUCCUCACCAGUAGUUGGCGCUACACUAUAUUUGUCACGUAUCUCUGCCCACAAUGAGUUGUCAUUGUGCUCAUUAAUAAUAAUAAUAAUAAUAAUAAUCUAUGUGAUUUGUAUAGCAUUUUUCUGGACACUCAAAGACACAAAAUGCAUUAUUUAUGCAUUCACAAUGUGGUGGUAAAGGACGUUGUGUAGCGACAGCUGCCCUGGGGCAGGCUGACAGAGGCGUGGCUGCCAGUAGGCACAUCACGGCCUCUCCUUCGGACCACCACCAAACAUCUACAUCAGUCGGGAGUCGCAUCGGAAGCAAAAACAGCCGCCACGACCUGCCACUUCAGCUCACACAACCCUCUGGUGUAUUGCAACAGCAUCAAUGCAAAAGACAGACAGCUCCAGGGACAAAAAUGGACCGUUUGGAAAAGAAGGCAAAAAAGAAAUCAAGUCUCAACGUGCUUCUGUGUUACCGCUCAUGGCAAAGAGGAGAGAAAUGUAAUUUUCAUCUUGAGAAAAUGUCUUGUGAAUCAUCAGAAUUUAUUUGGGACACAAAAGAUAUUUUGGCAGUCAAAGUGUGAAAAGAGAUCAGGUGAGAAUUUCUUUUUUUUUUUUAAGAUGUUCUGACCGUGGGGAAUGCCAGCACGUGUCAAUCCUUCAAAUACUGUGCAAUCGCUUUUCGGAAUCAAAUCAUGAAAAUGACAUUUGUAGUUAACAUUUACAUAUAUACUUAACAUUUUGAUUUCAAACGUGGCCGUUAGAUUUAUUAUUUGUAUUUACGAUUGAAGUUGGUCAUAAAUGAAAAAACAACCAAAAUUCACAGCGGUUUUUGAAGCAUUGUUGGAAAAUAAAUGUUUGAACAUGCUGAUCAGAAGCCCCUCACAAAACAGCGACUCACAACUGUCAACAACAUUGCGCCAAUUCAAAUUUUGGCU
Syngnathus typhle (broad-nosed pipefish) is the source of this 1575-nucleotide long non-coding RNA. RefSeq lists it as uncharacterized. The record is from RefSeq and is a predicted model, not a curated record. NCBI's taxonomy places the organism in Eukaryota, Metazoa, Chordata, Actinopteri, Syngnathiformes, Syngnathidae. The transcript has 3 exons.